UGCGUUUCUAGGGUAAAAACUUAUAGUAAAGAUAAGAAAAAUGUCAUCGAAAAUCUUAAAAAUCAUUGUAAUCACUUACAUUUUAGUAUUAUUAACAGUAAUAACUAACGCUGAGAAAAAGGAUGCUGAUAAAAAGCACUCCGAAAAAAGAGCAGCAGAGAACAACACACAAAUAAGAAUGUUAGCCCCAAGUUACUGUUAUUUUUUUGGAAACUGUCUUCAAAUAUUCUGUGAAUGUCAAAAGUUGCUGUGAAUUUCAGACCUGAUAAUGUUGGCUGGACUUCUCAUCUUGCCCGUUUUGAAACUUAACAAUGUUGUUUAUUCCUUGUUCACUCUGUUGGCGUUUCUUCUCAAUGUCAUGAACUACGUGGUAUAACGACUUUAAGUGCUCCUGAACCUUUUGUGCAGCGAUUGCGUCUGCACUGAACGGCAUUUUUGUUUCUGUAAUUAAAAUUCACCGCAAAAAUAUGGGGUCCUAAAGUGCCUAUCUAGAAGUACAACGUGAUACCAGCAAAGUAAUACCAAAGUGACCAGUGCCUAAAAUAUACAAAAUAGAACAAAAAUACACGCUGUAGUAAAUACUGACUACUCUACACACGGUUCUAGUAGAAAUGUUUAUUUCAAUCAAAUCAAAAAACAUUGAUUUGACAAUUUGAUGCACUGUCAAGGAAAGGGGACACAAGAAGCACUUUAAAAUUUUACUCUGGGUGACCUUUAUAAUUUGUAUCUCACAAUAAACUUCUAUUUACUGUA
Tribolium madens (black flour beetle) is the source of this 753-nucleotide long non-coding RNA. RefSeq lists it as uncharacterized. Lineage: Eukaryota; Metazoa; Arthropoda; Insecta; Coleoptera; Tenebrionidae. The transcript has 2 exons. The record is from RefSeq and is a predicted model, not a curated record.